Molecule: non-coding RNA, 941 nt
Organism: Coffea arabica (coffee)
Lineage: Eukaryota; Viridiplantae; Streptophyta; Magnoliopsida; Gentianales; Rubiaceae
Source: RefSeq, a predicted model, not a curated record
CACGGCCCCACAAUAUUUCUUCAUACUACCAAUCCAAUUCAUAUCACAAAACCACGAUACCAUUUGCUCUAUUUCACAACCACAACACACAAUACCAAUUCCUUCUCUGCACAAAACCAAACCGCAAACCAUUUCUCCUUUCUAAAUACCGAGACACCACCUUCAUCAAAUUCCAUUUCUUUUCUGCACAACUCCACCGAAACCACUGCACUCCAUCUUCAUCGUGAAAAGGUAGCAUCCGAGAGCAAGAGAGGGAGAGCUGCUCCUCGUGAGUAUCGACUGAAGAAAAGCCGCGAGCUGCAUUUUCAUUUUGUCUCUACUCUGUCCGUAGGCUGAGGGAAGAGACCAGGGAAACAACACUACCUUUGUCAACCUCAGACCAACAUCCACCAGCUGCAACCACCUUCAUCACAACACCAUUUCCAACUGCAAAUUGAACGCAGGACCAAACAGGGUGCGUGAGAGCCGAGAGGAAAGAAGAAAAUUCCAGAUUUCUGUGCGUAGGUUUGGAGUGUAUCUGAGGAUAUUUCGAGGACGCAGAAUUCGAUUCCCAACUUGAUAUCUGAACUCCAUUCUUGGUCCUGGAAACUGAAAGCUGGAUGCUUACUUAUGUUUUCCUUAUGUAUUGUAUUUGACUACUAUAACUUAUUCUGUGGGCUGUAAUGUGUUUUUUUUUUUGGGAUAAUGUACUUUUCUUUUUGGAUUGCUACUUGAAGCUGGAAAAUGUGUAAACCCUAAUUCGAUUACUUGGUUUGUAAGUUUGUAUUUGGGAUUUAUGUAUGUAUCUAUCCGGAUUGGUGCGACUUUAUACUUUGGUACGUAGCACGUAGGACGUUUAAGAGCACCGACUGGUUAUUUUAUCACUGCUAUCUCUGAAGUUAAUGUGGCUUUAAGGAUGAUCCUAUUCGGGAAAAAAAUUGUUUUGUAAUAUAUUAGGUUAU